ACGACCGUACCGCAAACCGACACUGGUGCGCGAGAUGAGUAUUCUAAGGCGCUUGAGAGAACUCAGGAGAAGGAACUCGGCAAAUUGACACCGUAACUUCGGAAGAAGGUGUGCCUUUAGUAGGUGAAGGGAUUUACUCCCGGAGCCCAAUGAGGUUGCAAAAAAUCGGUGGCUGCGACUGUUUAAUAAAAACACAGCACUCUGCAAACACGAAAGUGGACGUAUAGGGUGUGACGCCUGCCCGGUGCUGGAAGAUUAAAUGAUGGGGUGCAAGCUCUUGAUUGAAGUCCCAGUAAACGGCGGCCGUACGAUAACGGUCCUAAGGUAGCGAAAUUCCUUGUCGGGUAAGUUCCGACCUGCACGAAUGGCGUAACGAUGGCCACACUGUCUCCUCCUGAGACUCAGCGAAGUUGAAAUGUUUGUGAUGAUGCAAUCUCCCCGCGGAAAGACGGAAAGACCCCAUGAACCUUUACUGUAGCUUUGUAUUGGACUUUGAACAGAUCUGUGUAGGAUAGGUGGGAGGCUUUGAAGCAGGGUCGCUAGAUCUUGUGGAGCCAACGUUGAAAUACCACCCUGGUGUGUUUGAGGUUCUAACCUAGGCCCGUAAUCCGGGUCGGGGACAGUGCAUGGUAGGCAGUUUGACUGGGGCGGUCUCCUCCCAAAGCGUAACGGAGGAGUUCGAAGGUACGCUAGGUACGGUCGGACAUCGUGCUAAUAGUGCAAUGGCAUAAGCGUGCUUAACUGCGAGACUGACAAGUCGAGCAGAUGCGAAAGCAGGACAUAGUGAUCCGGUGGUUCUGUAUGGAAGGGCCAUCGCUCAACGGAUAAAAGGUACUCUGGGGAUAACAGGCUGAUACCGCCCAAGAGUUCAUAUCGACGGCGGUGUUUGGCACCUCGAUGUCGGCUCAUCUCAUCCUGGGGCUGUAUCCGGUCCCAAGGGUAUGGCUGUUCGCCAUUUAAAGAGGUACGUGAGCUGGGUUUAAAACGUCGUGAGACAGUUUGGUCCCUAUCUUCCGUGGGCGCUGCAGAUUUGAGGAAGCCUGCUCCUAGUACGAGAGGACCGGAGUGGACGCACCCUGGUGUAUCGGUUGUCAUGCCAAUGGCAUUGCCGAGUAGCUAUGUGCGGAAGAGAUAACCGCUGAAAGCAUCUAAGCGGGAAACUCGUUUCAAGAUGAGAUCUGCCGGGGCCUUGAGCCCCCUGAAGAGUCGUUCAAGACCAGGACGUUGAUAGGUCGGGUGUGGAAGCGCAGUAAUGCGUUAAGCUAACCGAUACUAAUUGCUCGUGCGGCUUGACCC
RNAcentral lists this ribosomal RNA (1296 nucleotides) under metagenome. RNAcentral's name for it is "bacterial LSU rRNA". It matches the Rfam family "Bacterial large subunit ribosomal RNA", at positions 1638 to 2925 of the family's 2925-position model. The record is from RNAcentral.